This 495-nucleotide ribosomal RNA is filed under the name uncultured bacterium. RNAcentral's name for it is "partial 16S ribosomal RNA". It matches the Rfam family "Bacterial small subunit ribosomal RNA", at positions 28 to 507 of the family's 1533-position model. The record is from RNAcentral.
GACGAACGCUGGCGGCGUGCCUAAUACAUGCAAGUAGAACGCUGAAGGAGGAGCUUGCUCUUCUGGAUGAGUUGCGAACGGGUGAGUAACGCGUAGGUAACCUGCCUGGUAGCGGGGGAUAACUAUUGGAAACGAUAGCUAAUACCGCAUAACAGUAGAUGUUGCAUGACAUUUGCUUAAAAGGUGCAAUUGCAUCACUACCAGAUGGACCUGCGUUGUAUUAGCUAGUUGGUGGGGUAACGGCUCACCAAGGCGACGAUACAUAGCCGACCUGAGAGGGUGAUCGGCCACACUGGGACUGAGACACGGCCCAGACUCCUACGGGAGGCAGCAGUAGGGAAUCUUCGGCAAUGGACGGAAGUCUGACCGAGCAACGCCGCGUGAGGGAAGAAGGUUUUCGGAUCGUAAAGCUCUGUUGUAAGAGAAGAACGAGUGUGAGAGUGGAAAGUUCACACUGUGACGGUAUCUUACCAGAAAGGGACGGCUAACUACGUG